UGUUUUAACUAACAGCUCAAGGCAGGAGCUGAGGGCUCAGCCACAGUAUUUACUCAGCCCCGUUUCCUGGAAUCUGAGAGCUGAUAGGAUGUUGUCCUUCCUUCUUGUCCAUCUCGGUGUGCCUAGGGUCUUGUUCUUGUAAAUAAGGUCCUAUGUGACUCCCAGUCCCACCAGGGUUAUAAUUUUCCACAUUCAGUGAGUGGAAGGCACUCAGGUUCUCUUACACAAGGCAGGCACUUGCUCCAGGGCACCAUAGAUGACAAUAUUGAUUACAAGUGGAGCUCACUUAGAGAUGAUUAAUGUACUUUGUAACUAGAAAGAAAACAAGUAGAAAUAUAUAUUUUGUCUUUCUUUUAACGGUGAGAAUGGAACAGGUGUUACCAGCCACUGAAUUGGUAAUACUCUUCAUUCAAACUGUCUGGUGACACAUUGCCCAAGUCUUACUACUGAGCCACAUCUGUUUUGUUCACGUUCCUUAUCAGCUCUGGGAAUGUGAGCCCACAGGACAUGAGCAGGAGGAGUAUUGGCGUGGGCGGGUGAAGGUGAUUUGCAAACUCCUGAAUCAGAUGAUGCCUUGCUGUUGCCUCUCCUUGAGGUCUGUUUUGGGGUUUGCUAAAGAUAGAGAGGUGUUGUCAGGAUGAGGUCAGAUGGCUUCGGGAAUGUUGAGGAUUUAUUUCUGAAGGCAGGGGUGAUGUCUUCUGGCCUCCUGUGGGUGGGUGAGGAAUGAACAGCCAGCCUAGGUAUAAAGCCAACCAAUGAAGGAGGGUUCAUGGGGAUCUCGGCGGCUAGACUGACCCUCCCCCUGACCUUGCAGGGUGGUUCUGAGUAAGUGGGGCCUCAAGUCUCAAGUGGCUGUCAGUGGGGACUCCCGAUAGGAGCUGGAGAGGAGCGAGUUUGCCAAGAGUUCAGCAGCGAGCUUUGCCUCUGUAAAAAGAGAUAGCCUGAAAGCGCGAGGGAGCCUUCUGGGUUUGAGUCACGACCUUUCCUGUCACAUCUCUGCUCCUGGCAGGUUGCUGGAGAGAUGUGUGUGACAGGCUCACCUUUCAGCGCUGCAGUCUUACUGCUGAGGUUGAAGGAGUGAGGAGGAAAGAGAGGAGAGAGCUUCACCCUGCUUCCUUAACCCACCCUUGCCGGGUCAGGACCAGGUCACAGAGGUCAGCAGCCUUGUGGGAACAUCCUGAUGAUAAGGUGAAAGGUCUCUUUCCUAAUCCUGCAAGAAUGUGAAGUCACCUGAGCCACUGUCUGAUCAUGCUGUGGUCUUCUAGUCACCUGGCAGAAUCUAGGCAUUUACACAAGAGCACCCUUGAAUUUUAAUUAGCAGUGAAUGGCACAACCCAGAUGCAGCAGGCCACAGCUUCUCCCUAGCAAAGUGCUCAAAGGAACUGUGUCAGUAAACUGUGAUGUGUGUGUGUGAGAGAGAGUGUUGUGUGUGUGUGAGAGUGUGUGAGUAUGUUGUGUCUGUGUGUGAGUGUGUGUGUGAGCAUGAUGUGUUUGUCUUAGUUAAAGGUAUUAAAGGUAAAAAUUUAAGGGAAUAGGAGCAGCGCUGAAGAUAAUGGCAGGCUCAGCGUGGGUAGCUCCGGCUCGGCCCGGUGUCCGGGGUAUGAGGGUCCUGUAAACCCCAGGCUGCAAACAAUGAGUCUCUGACUCGGCGGAGAGCAUGGGUACGGGCGCUGGCUCCAUCCAAGAAGCUGGUGGGCCCUUCGGAAAAGGAGAGAAGGCUGAAGAGGAUCGGUACUUCCGAGAGAAGGCUAGAGAACAGCUAGCUGCCCUGAAGAAACACCGUGAAGAGGAGAUUGACCACCAUUCGAAGGAGAUAGAACGUCUGCAGAAACAAACUGAAUGGCAAAUUGAAGAAGAUUAAGAACCUAAAGAGCAGUGAUCACUAAACGCACACAGUCCCUCACCGAAGGCCCGUAUCAUUCCCCACUUCUGUAGAAACAUUGUUUUGAAUGAUUAAUAUUUGGCCUGUGAUACUAACAGAUAAUAAAUUAUCCCCAGGAAAAAAAAUUCAUGGGAAUAAAGAAAAACAGGAAGCGA
Non-coding RNA from Rattus norvegicus (Norway rat), 2037 nucleotides. The record is from RefSeq and is a predicted model, not a curated record. NCBI's taxonomy places the organism in Eukaryota, Metazoa, Chordata, Mammalia, Rodentia, Muridae.